Molecule: ribosomal RNA, 459 nt
Filed under: uncultured bacterium
Lineage: Bacteria
Description: partial 16S ribosomal RNA
Rfam family: Bacterial small subunit ribosomal RNA
Source: RNAcentral
CCUACGGGUGGCAGCAGUGAGGAAUAUUGGUCAAUGGACGGAACCCUGAACCAGCCAAGCAGCGUGCAGGAAGAAGGUCCAACGGGUCGUAAACCUCUUUUGUCAGGGGACAAAGGCAGGGACUAGUCGCCUACUGAAGGUACCUGACGAAAAAGCAUCGGCUAACUCCGUGCCAGCAGCCGCGGUAAUACGGAGGAUGCGGGCGUUAUCCGGAUUUAUGGGGUUUAAAGGGUGCGCAGGCGGCCUGUUAAGUCAGCGGUAAAAUCCCGGGGCUCAACCUCGGCGAGCCGGGGAAACUGGCGGGCUGGAGUUGGACAGAAGUAGGCGGAAUGCGUGGUGUAGCGGUGAAAUGCUUAGAUAUCGCGAAGAACCCCGAUUGCGAAGGCAGCGUACCGUCGCCAUACUGACGCUGAGGCACGAAAGUGUGGGUAUCGAACAGGAUUAGAUACCCCAGUAGUC